Non-coding RNA from Gymnothorax javanicus (giant moray), 72 nucleotides. Lineage: Eukaryota; Metazoa; Chordata; Actinopteri; Anguilliformes; Muraenidae. The record is from the annotation of a GenBank genome assembly.
GGCAUGGUGGCCAAGUGGUAAGGCAUUGGUCUCGUAAACUGAAGAUUUUGGGUUUGGUGCCCAUCCAUGCCU